CCUACGGGUGGCAGCAGUGAGGAAUAUUGGUCAAUGGACGAGAGUCUGAACCAGCCAAGUAGCGUGAAGGAUGACUGCCCUAUGGGUUGUAAACUUCUUUUGUAGGGGAGUAAAAAGCGUCACGUGUGCCGUUUUGAAAGUACUAUAUGAAUAAGCAUCGGCUAACUCCGUGCCAGCAGCCGCGGUAAUACGGAGGAUCCGAGCGUUAUCCGGAUUUAUUGGGUUUAAAGGGUGCGUAGUUGGUAUUUUAAGUCAGUGGGAAAAUUUUGCGGCUAAACCUAAAAAAGCCAUUGAUACUGGGGGUCUAGAGAACAGGUGAGGUAGGCGGAAUGAGUGGAGUAGCGGUGAAAUGCAUAGAUAUAACGAAGAACCCCGAUUGCGAAGGCAGCUUACCAGACUGUGACUGACGCUGAUGCACGAGAGUGUGGGUAUCGAACAGGAUUAGAUACCCGAGUAGUC
RNAcentral lists this ribosomal RNA (459 nucleotides) under uncultured bacterium. Its description in RNAcentral is "partial 16S ribosomal RNA". It matches the Rfam family "Bacterial small subunit ribosomal RNA", at positions 338 to 795 of the family's 1533-position model. The record is from RNAcentral.